Molecule: ribosomal RNA, 444 nt
Filed under: uncultured bacterium
Lineage: Bacteria
Description: SSU rRNA
Rfam family: Bacterial small subunit ribosomal RNA
Source: RNAcentral
AGAACGAACGCUGGCGGCAGGCUUAACACAUGCAAGUCGAGCGCCCCGCAAGGGGAGCGGCAGACGGGUGAGUAACGCGUGGGAACAUACCCUCCGGUUCGGAAUAGCUCAGGGAAACUUGGAUUAAUACCGGAUACGGCCUAGCGGCGAAAGAUUCAUCGCCGGAGGAUUGGCCCGCGUCUGAUUAGCUAGUUGGUGGGGUAAUGGCCCACCAAGGCGACGAUCAGUAGCUGAUCUGAGAGGAUGAUCAGCCACAUUGGGACUGAGACACGGCCCAAACUCCUACGGGAGGCAGCAGUGGGGAAUAUUGGACAAUGGGCGCAAGCCUGAUCCAGCCAUGCCGCGUGAGUGAUGACGGCCUUAGGGUUGUAAAGCUCUUUCGCUAGGGACGAUAAUGACGGUACCUAGACAAGAAGCCCCGGCUAACUUCGCGCCAGCAGCCGC